UGACUGAGAUGACUGGAUGACCUGCC
RNAcentral lists this non-coding RNA (26 nucleotides) under Homo sapiens (human). The record is from RNAcentral. Lineage: Eukaryota; Metazoa; Chordata; Mammalia; Primates; Hominidae.